RNAcentral lists this ribosomal RNA (255 nucleotides) under uncultured bacterium. RNAcentral's name for it is "partial 16S ribosomal RNA". It matches the Rfam family "Bacterial small subunit ribosomal RNA", at positions 524 to 776 of the family's 1533-position model. The record is from RNAcentral.
UACGGGGGGGGCGAAGCGUUGUUCGGAAUUACUGGGCGUAAAGGGCUCGUAGGCGGCCAACUAAGUCAGACGUGAAAUCCCUCGGCUUAACCGGGGAACUGCGUCUGAUACUGGUUGGCUUGAGUGUGGGAGAGGGAGUGCGGAAUUCCAGGUGUAGCGGUGAAAUGCGUAGAUAUCUGGAGGAACACCGGUGGCGAAGGCGGCAUCCUGGACCAUUACUGACGCUGAGGAGCGAAAGCCAGGGGAGCAAACGGG